GACGCAGACAGCGACACUAACAGUGAGAAGCCUCAGCACAGAGUUGCACAGAGAGACUGCCUCUGCAUUCAUGACACUGACAGCACAGACACCAUAACUCCAGCCAUGACAGGCUCUGCACACAGGGACCCAGGAAGUGAAGGGCACUGCAGACCAUACCUCUGACAGUGACAGACCCCGAACAUCCACAGAGACAGUAACAUCAGCACUGACAGGCUCAGCAAACAGAGAAAUAGGGAGGAAUGGGCUCUGUCGACAUCAUAACACCAACAGACACAGCGACAAGUACUGCAAACAGUGACACAAACAGUACUAGCCUCUCCCAAUAAUACCAAGCUCUGCAAAUAAAACUAAACUCCACAGAAUGACAAACAGUGCCACGGUCUACAAAUGGUGACACAGGCAAUGACAAGCUUUGCAAACAGCUCCAAGCUCUGCAAAUAAUGACACACAGGGCCAAGCUCUGCAAACACGUGUGAGGAGACAGAAGCACACAGAGGAGAAUUCACCUGCCAGGGCCAUAGAAAUCCUGCGCUGCUGUCCAGCACUGGGAUUCGUGUCUGCCCAACUCUCAGCAAACAGGCAUGAGGGCUGGAAGAGGAGAAAACACAACUGGCUAGGAGAAGGCAACCUUCCCUGCUGUGGUGAGCAACAGUCGUGAGCUGUCAGCUCCUCUGGGACAUCCUCUCCCUUUCAGUUCCCUGCCUGCAACACAGCUCUCCCUCUCUCCUGCCAGAGGAGGCUUGGGCUGGCAGAGAGAAGAGAAAGAAUAACCAGAGAGGGACCAGGCAGAGGGGAGAUGAAUCCAGCAUGUGCUGGUGCCUUCGAACUACACUGAGCUCAGACACGCAGGCUCUGAGGCUGGAACAGUGCUUGCCUCUUGAGGCUUCCUCCAGGCAGGGCCCGCAGAAGCUGCUGCUGCACUCUGAAUUCCAACACUCCAGAUGUGCGGGGGGCCAGAUGCACAAACCGAAGCCUAGAGCCCUGGGUUGAGAUGCCUGGGCAACAGAGAGCAAGGACUCUGCCUCAUUAUGGGAUGCAAUAAGCAGGUAACUUCUUUCAUUGAAAGACUGGAUUCUCCUCCAGGUCUUGAGUUGAGAUCCUGGGUCUGCAGCAGGUCAUCUGAGCAUCAAACAUAAUAUUAAUCUUCUAGGUAUCUUGACUGCUGUGUGCACAAAUACUGUGCAGUCAGG
Gorilla gorilla gorilla (western lowland gorilla) is the source of this 1193-nucleotide long non-coding RNA. RefSeq lists it as uncharacterized. NCBI's taxonomy places the organism in Eukaryota, Metazoa, Chordata, Mammalia, Primates, Hominidae. The record is from RefSeq and is a predicted model, not a curated record. The transcript is spliced from 3 exons.